Drosophila innubila is the source of this 259-nucleotide long non-coding RNA. RefSeq lists it as uncharacterized. NCBI's taxonomy places the organism in Eukaryota, Metazoa, Arthropoda, Insecta, Diptera, Drosophilidae. The record is from RefSeq and is a predicted model, not a curated record. The transcript is spliced from 2 exons.
CUAGUGUGGCGUCUAAUUGUCAAGUUCAUAACCUUUACAUAAAUGCCGCCAGCGCAGCCUCCGCCAGCUAUAGCGCACUGCCCCUUAGCAUACCGUACAUAAGUAGACCUUACCGGGCCAGCUACCGAAAGAGACUUGCGGAUGUUACACGUCAAAUUAAAUAAUAGAUGCAGAAAUUCUCCCCCUUUUCCCCGUUUCUUUUUUUUAAAUCAAUGUUUUCGUAUUUGUUGUGCCAUUAAAUGUGCAACUUUAUUCAAAA